This 1180-nucleotide long non-coding RNA is filed under the name Marmota monax (woodchuck). Lineage: Eukaryota; Metazoa; Chordata; Mammalia; Rodentia; Sciuridae. The record is from RNAcentral.
GUAUACCCGUCUCCUCCCGGUCUGCUCUCAGUGCUCACCAGGCACCACUGUAUACCAGCUCACCAGGCACCACUGUAUACCCGUCUCCUCCCGGUCUGCUCUCAGUGCUCACCAGGCACCACUGUAUACCAGCUCACCAGGCACCACUGUAUACCCUGUGCUCACCAGGCACCACUGUAUACCAGCUCAGCAGGCACCACUGUAUACCCGUCUCCUCCCGGUCUGCUCCUAGUGCUCACCAGGCACCACUGUAUACCAGCUCACCAGGCACCACUGUAUACCAGCUCACCAGGCACCACUGUAUACUCAGCAGGCACCACUGUAUACCCGUCUCCUCCCGGUCUGCUCUCAGUGCUCACCAGGCACCACUGUAUACCAGCUCACCAGGCACCACUGUAUACCAGCUCACCAGGCACCACUGUAUACCUGUCUCCUCCCGGGUCUGCUCUCUGUGCUCACCAGGCACCACUGUAUACCAGCUCACCAGGCACCACUGUAUACCCGUCUCCUCCCGGUCUGCUCUCUGUGCUCACCAGGCACCACUGUAUACCAGCCCUGCUUGAGCAGGGGAGAGAGCCUGGGUGGGAGGGCCAUGUCUGGGAGCAAGGGCAGCAGCCACCUGCCGUCCCGACACUGGGGUCUGUGAGUCAGGGCCAUGUGCCCAGCCCCAGGGUCACUCAGAGCCAGACCACCCAGGGCUGCAGAGGGCCUGGUGCCCAGUGUGCCUCUGCUCCGCCUCGGCGGCCCUUUAGCACUGGGGCAGCACUGACCUCGGGGCUCUGGGCCCCUUGGUUCUCAUUUGAGAAAUGGGAGAUUGGACUGGGGCAUGUGCCUUGGCCAGAGCACAUGGGCACAGAGAGGGCACCGCACGGCUGUCACCUGGGCCCAGGAACACAGGGAGGAGCAAGAGAAGGGAGAGGAUGAGAAGAGGACAAGGAGGGGGAAGGGAGGAGGAGGAGCAGCAGGAGGAGUACUGGGAGGAGGGGAGGAGGGAGAGCAGGAGGAGGAGGGAGAGCAGGAGGAGGAGGAGGGAGAGCAGGAGGAGGAGGAGGGAGAGCAGGAGGAGGAGGAGGGAGAGCAGGAGGAGGAGGAGGGAGAGCAGGAGGAGGAGGAGGGAGAGCAGGAGGAGGAGGAGGGAGAGCAGGAGGAGGAGGAGGGAGAGCAGGAGGANNNNNNNNNN